UAACUGAACGGGGAAUAACUGAGC
This 24-nucleotide non-coding RNA is filed under the name Mus musculus (house mouse). Lineage: Eukaryota; Metazoa; Chordata; Mammalia; Rodentia; Muridae. The record is from RNAcentral.